GAUGAACGCUGGCGGCGUGCUUAACACAUGCAAGUCGAACGGAAAGGCCCAAGCUUGCUUGGGUACUCGAGUGGCGAACGGGUGAGUAACACGUGGGUGAUCUGCCCUGCACUUCGGGAUAAGCCUGGGAAACUGGGUCUAAUACUGGAUAGGACCACUUCUUGGAUGUUGUGGUGGAAAGUUUUUUCGGUGUGGGAUGAGCUCGCGGCCUAUCAGCUUGUUGGUGGGGUAAUGGCCUACCAAGGCGUCGACGGGUAGCCGGCCUGAGAGGGUGUACGGCCACAUUGGGACUGAGAUACGGCCCAGACUCCUACGGGAGGCAGCAGUGGGGAAUAUUGCACAAGGGGCGCAAGCCUGAUGCAGCGACGCCGCGGGGGGGAUGACGGCCUUCGGGUUGUAAACUCCUUUCGCUAGGGACGAAGCGUUUUGUGACGGUACCUGGAGAAGAAGCACCGGCUAACUACGUG
RNAcentral lists this ribosomal RNA (467 nucleotides) under uncultured bacterium. Its description in RNAcentral is "partial 16S ribosomal RNA". It matches the Rfam family "Bacterial small subunit ribosomal RNA", at positions 28 to 507 of the family's 1533-position model. The record is from RNAcentral.